UGCAAUAUGCUGCAUUCAUGGAAGUUAUACACAGUGCCAUUGGUUCCGAGCGGAGCGUUGUUUCCUCUGAUGCAAUGGACAGGAAGGGCUCAGUUUGUGGUUGUCAUUGUUCAGAAUAUUGAUGAUGUUUUACUCUAUUCUAUGGAUCACUUCACUUUCACUUCUUUAUGUCUUGCCUUGAGUUUAUAUUGUUUAAUUUUAUGUGAAGCUUUUGUUUGUUUUUGCAGUUAAUUUGAUUCCUAACUCAGGAUUUUUGUUCUGUGCUUUCUCUAGGUCCAGGAGUUACCUUCCGUUUUAUAACUUCUCUUGCAUGGAGUAUAGCCGAGUGUGAAAGUGCUGGUGAAAUUGGGAAAGCAUGUCACGCAUCAUCUGCUUUUGAUACUCAACAGUUUGGGAUAUAACUGGAUGGAGCAGUAACUUGGUAUAGGGGGAACCUAAUGGAGCACAAGAAUCUGCAAUACUCUGUUUUUGUUGUGCUUUCAUUUGGGAGGACAUGUACUGUGAAAGUUGUGGCAGAGAUUAUCAUGGACUUAUUUUUGGUUUGGUGUGCUAAGUAAAGAACUACGAAUGUACUUGUUCUGAAUGGUGUCUUUUGAUGCAUGUCUACUUUUCAGUCAGUUGAAGUUUUGGAUAUCUUUUGAUACAAUUGGAUAAGAAAGGAGAGUACAGAUAAUUCAAAUUUCUUCAAUGAAAUUCUAUUUACUAUUUUUAAUCCAGAUAUUUCAAAUUUCUUCAUUGAGUUGCUAUAUACUAUUUUUAUUUUCAGACUUUGUCAUAAGACAUACUAAUUGAAUUGUGAACUACUUUUCUGCAGCGUGGUUUGUCAUAGAGCUUUCAGUUUUUAUUUGGUGAUAUCUAGUAAAUUCCUUUAGUUUCAGUAUUUGUUCAUCAAUUUUGAGAGCAUAUAUUUAUUGAUUUGUUAUUUUUCUCAUUUUUCUCUUUGGUUUUGCAGGAGAGGUAAUCUAAAUGCAAACAAUUCCUUCGUGAUCUUCCUCUUGUUUGAUUUUUAGUUUUUGUUUUGACACUCUUUUUUCCCUGGUUACUUUGGUUUUGAUCUUGAAGUUUG
This is a long non-coding RNA of Trifolium pratense (red clover), 1066 nucleotides long. RefSeq lists it as uncharacterized. Lineage: Eukaryota; Viridiplantae; Streptophyta; Magnoliopsida; Fabales; Fabaceae. The record is from RefSeq and is a predicted model, not a curated record. The transcript is spliced from 4 exons.